AAGGGGAUCCGUAGGUGCCAUUUCUGUUUCUAAUUGUGCCGAAGUGCUGGGGGGUCUACUUAGGAUGGCUGAAUCAUAUGGCCUGUUAUCGGAGGUUUCGGUCGGCGAAGGUGGAUUGCAAGUAGUUUCCCAACAGGUCACGGAUUCAUUGAAUAAUGUUACGGUGUUGAAGAGAGUAUCUUGCAGUGCUAUGAGGUUGCAUCAAGAUUGAGAGUAAAUUUCCACAAGAGCAGCUUGGGAGGGG
Molecule: long non-coding RNA, 244 nt
Filed under: Glycine max (soybean)
Lineage: Eukaryota; Viridiplantae; Streptophyta; Magnoliopsida; Fabales; Fabaceae
Description: long non-coding RNA (GMAX_LNC004368)
Source: RNAcentral